AGGCACAUAGCUCAGUUGGUUAGAGCAUCACCUUGACAUGGUGGGGGUCGUUGGUUCGAGUCCAAUUGUGCCUACCA
This 77-nucleotide transfer RNA is filed under the name Pseudomonas sp. RNAcentral's name for it is "tRNA-Val". It matches the Rfam family "tRNA". From Rfam's summary of the family: Transfer RNA (tRNA) molecules are approximately 80 nucleotides in length. The record is from RNAcentral. RNAcentral also lists the same sequence under 8 other names. Lineage: Bacteria; Pseudomonadati; Pseudomonadota; Gammaproteobacteria; Pseudomonadales; Pseudomonadaceae.